RNAcentral lists this long non-coding RNA (478 nucleotides) under Olea europaea subsp. europaea. Lineage: Eukaryota; Viridiplantae; Streptophyta; Magnoliopsida; Lamiales; Oleaceae. The record is from RNAcentral.
GGAAACUGUAUUUUCUUCCUCCCAUCCCUAAUUGAGCCAAAGUUUUUUGGCUGUUUUUGCUUACAGGAUUUUGCCAUGAAUCCGAAUAAAAUUGAAGAGGAUGUGUUUAGCAAAAUGGGUCCACUACCACCCCACCAUGAAUAGCUUAAUCUCAGGCUUCCACUGACGACGACGUCAUCGUCAGCAACACGAUGCUGAAUCUCCCCUAAUCUGUGAUCAGCCUCGAAACUCUAAUUCACUGGAUCUUGCUGCAAUUGAUGGUGUUAGGAGACAUUAGCGUUGCACAUUAGCCGGGUUGCUACGCCGAACGAGAUCCGAGCGGUGACUCCUGAUGACUUGCUGGCCAGCUAGAGAUUAGUGUGGAAGGACCGGAAUGAGGAUACCGCCUACUUGACUGCGUUGAAGCGUACCCAGGACUAGCUAAUUAUCAAUAUGGCUCACUCGGCCUCGACUGUCUCCAUUACUGGUAAUAGCUGUU